Molecule: ribosomal RNA, 119 nt
Organism: Arabidopsis thaliana (thale cress)
Lineage: Eukaryota; Viridiplantae; Streptophyta; Magnoliopsida; Brassicales; Brassicaceae
Source: Rfam
CGAUGCGAUUAUACCAGCACUAAGGCACCAGAUUCCAUGAGAACGUCGCACCUAAGCGUGCUUGAACGAUAGUAGUAUUAGGAUGGGUGACCUCCCAGGAAGUCUUUGUGUUGUAUCCC